AAGUCAACUUGAAUUUGGGUUUUUAACUUAGAUUUGGGUGGCGGACGGGUGAGUAACGCGUAAAGAACUUGCCUCACAGCUAGGGACAACAUUUAGAAAUGAAUGCUAAUACCUGAUAUUAUGAUUUUAAGGCAUCUUAGGAUUAUGAAAGCUAUAAGCACUGUGAGAGAGCUUUGCGUCCCAUUAGCUAGUUGGAGAGGUAACAGCUCACCAAGGCGAUGAUGGGUAGCCGGCCUGAGAGGGUGAACGGCCACAAGGGGACUGAGACACGGCCCUUACUCCUACGGGAGGCAGCAGUGGGGAAUAUUGGACAAUGGACCGAGAGUCUGAUCCAGCAAUUCUGUGUGCACGAUGAAGUUUUUCGGAAUGUAAAGUGCUUUCAGUUGGGAAGAAAAAAAUGACGGUACCAACAGAAGAAGUGACGGCUAAAUACGUGCCAGCAGCCGCGGUAAUACGUAUGUCACGAGCGUUAUCCGGAUUUAUUGGGCGUAAAGCGCGUCUAGGUGGUUAUGUAAGUCUGAUGUGAAAAUGCAGGGCUCAACUCUGUAUUGCGUUGGAAACUGUAUAACUAGAGUACUGGAGAGGUAAGCGGAAUUACAAGUGUAGAGGUGAAAUUCGUAGAUAUUUGUAGGAAGGCCGAUGGGGAAGCCAG
This 652-nucleotide ribosomal RNA is filed under the name uncultured Fusobacterium sp. RNAcentral's name for it is "bacterial SSU rRNA". It matches the Rfam family "Bacterial small subunit ribosomal RNA", at positions 59 to 724 of the family's 1533-position model. The record is from RNAcentral. Lineage: Bacteria; Fusobacteriati; Fusobacteriota; Fusobacteriia; Fusobacteriales; Fusobacteriaceae.